UACGUAGGGUGCAAGCGUUAAUCGGAAUUACUGGGCGUAAAGCGUGCGCAGGCGGGUUUGUAAGUCUGUCGUGAAAGCCCCGGGCUCAACCUGGGAAUUGCGAUGGAGACUGCAAGGCUUGAAUCUGGCAGAGGGGGGUAGAAUGCCACGUGUAGCAGUGAAAUGCGUAGAGAUGUGGAGGAACACCGAUGGCGAAGGCAGCCCCCUGGGUCAAGAUUGACGCUCAUGCACGAAAGCGUGGGGAGCAAACAGG
Molecule: ribosomal RNA, 253 nt
Filed under: uncultured bacterium
Lineage: Bacteria
Description: partial 16S ribosomal RNA
Rfam family: Bacterial small subunit ribosomal RNA
Source: RNAcentral